RNAcentral lists this long non-coding RNA (2299 nucleotides) under Homo sapiens (human). RNAcentral describes it as "HSALNT0363836". Lineage: Eukaryota; Metazoa; Chordata; Mammalia; Primates; Hominidae. The record is from RNAcentral.
CACUUCCGCCCUCACUGGUUGCCGUGGUAACAGGCCUCCGGUGGAGGGCGGGGACCCUCGGAAGCCAGCUGGGUGGCGAUCGCUUGUCUGCCUUGGCAGGCCCCUUGUGCAGUCUUUUCCCGGCGUGAGCGUGCAGGGAUUGAAAAGGAAUGCUUUAUGGUUCAGCAGAGAGCCACCACGCAGGAUGCACUGGGACCUGAGAACCGUCGGGCAGUCCCACGAGCUCUUUCAUGACCAGCUCCAACCGACAAGUACACGCCCCUUCGCACUCCACUAGCUAGUAAGCUGAGCUACAAGGUGUGCCAGGCACCCAGGACGCCGAUUCACCGCUUCAGUGAAGGCCCAGCUCAAAUGCCACCUCUUCCAUGAAGACUUCCGUGAUCCACAAUGAUAGCAUCUCCAGCAAUUGCUUCUAUAAUGAAUAGCAUGAGUCAUUCUGCAGGAUGUUGAUCUUCCUUUUUUUACUCCUAGACUGAAUUUUUCCACCACCUGGAUGAACAUAGCAGAAAGAACAUAGUGUUUUAGAGUCAGACACAAUAGGAAUCAGGCACUUUGGAAUCUUGGCUCUACCACCUUUGAGCUAUGUAUCCCAAGAGCCCUCUUUCUUCCAUUCACUUACCUGUCUAGUCAAACACCCAUCAGACCUUUGCCAGGUGUCCAGCCUGGGCACUACGUUUCAGAAAAUGAUGCACAUAGAAUCCCUAACUGAAAGGAGAUCGCAGCUCAUUUGGUACAAAGUGGUAACGGCAGAGUCCCAAAACACAUGAAGCAAGAACUGACAGAACUGGAGGGAGACAUCAAUCAAUAACAACAGUUGGAGAAUUCAAUACCCUGCUCUGAAUAAUGGAUAGAACAAUUAGGCAGAAGACCAACAAAGAAAGAGGAUAUUUGAACAACGUGAUAAGCCAAUUUGACCUAAUAAAUAUCUUUAUCUGUGAAACACCCUAGCUUUUAGCCUGGGUAAGGAGCUGGAGAGAUGUGAAAAUGUGGAAAGCAAGCCUAAGUCGCAGUGUGGCCUAUGCCUGAGAGCCAUCUUCAGUGCCCCCUUGUGGCUGUAUCUGGGAACCACAGACAGAAUCAUGGAACUGACCAUCUUCAGUCUCAAAGUGCUGCCCUCACCACUACACCCAGGGGCAGGUGGUCUUCGGGGGAAAGGCGGUUCCAGUUCCUUCUCCCAAGCCAGUGAGGAAGUCAAUCCUGCGAACAACUGCAGGAACGGCCUUGGGAGUGGAUCCUUCCUCAGCCCGGCUCCAAGACAACUGCAGCCCUGUGAGAAACCCUGAGUGGAGGACCAAGCCAAGCCUCAAAUCGUGACUUGGAACUGGGAGACAACAGAUGCUGUUGGAAGCCACUGAGCUCUGAAGUAGUUUGUUACACAGUGACAGGUAACUUACACACCAUGGCAGGGUCAUGUGGGCCAAAGGUGCAAGGGGCUAGAGGGCUCAGAGGGCAGCCAGCUGGGGACCCAGUCUUCCCCAGGUGUCAGCAGCAGAUGCAGAUGCAGCCCCAGCAAUAACUCAUAGAGGAUUCUCACUUUCAUUUAUUUUCAAGGCAUAUACAAAAGUCUGACAUGGUGCAAUGAUCUCAUCAAGAGAUAACAGAACACACAGGAGAGGGUUGGGUUUCCUCCCCGGCCCAACCCCCUCAGGAAGGCACAGAAAAGUGAGGCUUGGGUUCGGGGGCCACCUGCUUUGGAACUAAUCUGCUGCUCAGAAGGCCAGGCCCCUUCUGAAGAGGGAUCUCUUCCUCACAUCCAGAAUCUAGGAUCUGGGGAAGGUAAACUGAGGCCACCAGUAAGCAUGUGCUCCAGGCCAAGGCUGAGUCUGUGCUGCAUCCAUGUCAUCAGCCACCCAAGAAAAACCAGUUACUCCACCUAGCUCAUGGUGGCGGCAUCCUCCCUGCAAUGGUGCAUGGGGGGCAGUCCUUUCCCCUGCAGGGUGUCAUUGCCACCCCCAUCCUCAUCCUGGAGGCCAGUCCAGGCUCCGAUAUGAGUGACUAGGGGUGAGGUAGGGGUGGCAGAAGGGAGAUCAAACUGGAGCAUUCCAGAUGCCUACUACUGCCCUCACACAACGGGGCAACUGUGCUCUCCAACUCCUCCCCUUGGCAGAGAAACUGGUCCUGCAGUUUCAGGACUAGACGAGCGUGGGGUAGUGGCAAUAAAGGGGCUUGUAUGAGAAGUGGCUUUCGCCUCUCAUCCCUAGGGGCAAAAAGUGAAUCAUCUAACUGGUCCAAGUCACUAAUGGCAAUCCUUCUUCCCCAAGAAGACUGAGUUUCCUUUGUCACUUCAGGAAGGGAAGAA